This 313-nucleotide long non-coding RNA is filed under the name Vigna radiata. RNAcentral describes it as "long non-coding RNA (VRAD_LNC012917)". The record is from RNAcentral. Lineage: Eukaryota; Viridiplantae; Streptophyta; Magnoliopsida; Fabales; Fabaceae.
AUUCAUCUCAAACAAUCAAAAUCCUCACAUACAAAUGCCAUCAAAAGGACUUUUCCACGACUUGUAAUGAGGCUGGGCUAACAACAAAAAUUUGUUUUUCCGAAAUGCAAAAUCCUUGAGUUAAGAGAGCUACCAUAGUAUUCAACAUUUAAGCACAACUCUCUUCCUCACCAAUCUCACUUAUUUCCCAACUUCUGCCCUUUUCUUUUGCAUUGAGCUCACUUUCAUGCUUUUCUUUUCUUUUUCUCAGGCAUUUUUCUUUCUCAACAUUUGAGCUCAAUGCUUUACAAUUGCUUUUCAAUUUCCCCCGCAC